RNAcentral lists this long non-coding RNA (4713 nucleotides) under Pan troglodytes (chimpanzee). Its description in RNAcentral is "long non-coding RNA NONPTRT007379". The record is from RNAcentral. Lineage: Eukaryota; Metazoa; Chordata; Mammalia; Primates; Hominidae.
CCAGUGUCUCCUGGCUCGGGAAAAUACGUAUAUGAGAAAAAUCUUGGAUGCAACAAAAAGAACACCGUGGCCACCCGUGGUGUCCCAGGAGUUGCUCUGAGCUCCUCGCGUCAGGGCAGGUGCUCCACCUCUAACCGCCCUGUGGGGGAACGGGAGGCCCCAAGCCCCUGGGAGUCCUGGUCCCCUCCAGAGUGUGUUGGAAGGACAGCCGCUGGAAAGGCCCCUCAGAGCCCCUAAACCAGCCUCCCCUCCCCCGUGGGCAGAUUGUUCGAGGGUCCUGGAGCCUGAAUGAUGGGCCCUCGGCUUGCCCACCCCCAUCCCCAGUCAUCAAUCACCAUUUGAGAAAUGCCCACUGCCAGGGACAUGGGAGGGCAGAGGGUAGCUCCCGGGUGCGUGGCCCCUAUCUCCUCAAGCUGGUUUAGACCCUUCUGGCUCAGCCUCACCAGAUUCCUAGGAUGAGCACUGGCUUCAAAUCCCCCAAGUGCUGGUCCCUUCGUGUCCCCGAAAGAGGCUGCUCGCGUGGGCAAAGGCCCCGAGGCGUCGAGUGCGCCUUCCAGGGCAGUGCGGAAGCUCCCUGCCCUCCUCCUUCCUCCCCGCUUCUGCCUCCUCCUCCCCCAGUGUUCGCUUAAAGCAAAUUCUAGUGGGCUUUUUUUUUUUUUCUCAAUACUGUUUCAAAACAGUUGUUACAGCAAAUAACUGCAGACGGGUCUGCUGGACGCGGUGGAGAGGGGCUGGCAGCUGCCCAGCACAGGCGCCUGGCCGCUGGGCAGCUCCCGCAAUACCAAAAUAAGCUCACGAGUUCCCCUGGAAGACUUGGGCCGCCGGGAGCUCGGGCUGGUGAUCUGCUCGGAGGAAACCUCCCUACUUUCCUUUUUUACUCUUCCUGCUGUCCAGAGCUAACAAAUGUUUUUAAUUUCAGAGGAACAUGGUGUGGGGAUCUGCAGACUCGCCUUCCACUGGGGAGAGGGCCAGCGAGGGGACAGAGGGGGAGGAAAGGAGAGGGGAUAAUAGACCUGAGGUCAGUGUUGAUGCUGGAGGGCCCAGGUCUCUGAAGUUCCUGCAGCUUUGCAGAUGAGCGGGCUGCAAGUGAGGCUAGGCCUGUGGACACCCAGUGGGGCCUGGAACAGUGCCAGGAGUGGCCUUGAACCCCACCUCGAUCCCUCUCCAGCAGGAUCUGGGGUCACUUGCAUGGGCCUGGCAGACACCACUCCAGAUUUGCCCUCUGGCCUGGGGAGCAGAUAACCCCCCGCCCCACAUAACCAGCUGCGCUCCUACACCUGGCAGGCCGGCUCACACAUCACCCUUUAACGCACACUAUAUUCACACACACACUUGUGCAGUCUUGAAUGUGUGCACACACAUCUGCCUGCACACACUCAUGUGCCCACAUGUGAAUCACUUGGAAGUGUACACACACCCAAACCCACAGCGCAGAUGGGCAGACAGGUGAGCCCCGUGCAGCAUGUCACACUCCCACAUGCACAAGACAUGCGUGCAGAGGCAUAUCACACACGCAGAAGCACUCCCGAGAACCGCCUUCUCCCUUCCAGCCUAGGGGCCCCUGUUCCCCCACAACCGGGCCCAGCCCUGGAGCCCCCUCCAGCACUCCUCUCCCACCCCCACGCUCCCAAAGAGCAGCAGAUGUAGGUCUCCCGGCUCCCAAACCUCUGAGAUGCUGCUCUGUCUGAAAUCAUCAUAUAAAUAAUCAUUUUUUAAUACAAGGGGGUGGGGGUGUCAGGCAAGUUCCAUGAAAUUGUGAAUUAGCCGCUGCUCCAAAUAAAUGCCUCCUUCGGCCCGAGAGCAGCCGGCUCUCGCCCGCUGCGCCCCCAGUAAUCGUGUGUUGGGUAUCUCUCCAUUGUUCCCUGGGCCAUUAGUCAAAGGGCAAAUUAGAAACAAUUUCUUGACGACAAAAAUUGACUCUUAAUUCUUCCCACCAGAGGCGCAGGGGGACAAGUCCAGAGGCCAGGCCUGAGGCUGGGGCUGGCGGCAGGAGGGGUAGGCGGGGUAGAGGUGGGGGAUCUAAGAUGGUUCACAGCACAGAGACCUCCCUCAACUGGAGGGCAGCAGCAGCUCACCCCCACCCCAGAAUCAGUGUUCCAGAGGACAGUUGGGGGCAGGGGGUUAGGAACAAUCCCACUCCCUCCCGGAAGAGGUCCUGACCCCCACCCCACCCAUCUGCCUGUAUUGGCCCCUCUGCUAUCGACUGGGGCGAGUUCUUUUCAUGAGGGCCUUGCCUGGUGCCUGGAGGGAACAGGGUGUGGGGGAAAGGUCUGUGUGUUCCCCCCUCACCUCCCCUGCUCAGCGGUGUGGCCUCUGGCUCUGGAGAGGAUCGGGAAGCCCCAGGGUCCGUGCCUUGGAGUGGGGGGACAGCCUUUUCUCUGCCACAGCUUCUGCCUUUGGGGGCUUACCCUUCCUAGGAGCAGAACUGUUGUGGAGGGGAAGAGGACGGCGAAGGUUCCGAAGGGAAGGGGGCUGCCCCCACUGAAAACGAAGCUUCCAGUCACAGCCCCUUCAUUAUUUAUCAGGACCCAGGGGAUGAGGUGGCAGGGGAGGGGGCUGCAUGGAGGGAGUGCCCGCACCCUCGUCCCCAGCGCCUGCCCCCUCCCGACCAGGCCUGGGCUGAGGCCCAGGGUAAGGGGGCUGAGGCAGGCCACAGAGGAGCAAGACUUGUCAGGGGCCAGACCUGGGUAGGAGGAUUGUCCUCCAGGCACACACGGCCCCCAGCCUGUCGAACUGGGCUCUCCCAGAAGGUCCCCGGCUCCAGCCCAAGCAGGGAGCCAGGUUGGGGGUGUGGGAAGGCAGAGGUCCCAGGGAUCCUGGGGGAGGCUCAGGUUGUACCUGCAGGCCACAGUCUCCUCGACAGACCUCGGACGAGGUUGUAAGUGUUUUAAAGAAACCAGAGCAGCAGAGAAGAGAGACUCAGAAGCCCGUGGCACGGCUUUCUGGGUGUCCCCUCCAGCGAGGGGGUCUCCAUUGCUGCAGUUGCCGGUUUUGUCCAACCAGGUCAGGAGGCUGCCCGGCCCCCUCCCCACUCUCAAAGUUGCUUGUUAAACACAGAGUCGUAAUUUGUGGCUAAAUAUAACUAGUGUGUUCUCACGGAGAGUAUAAUUCAGGGUGCUCGUUGUAUGAGGUUAUCAACGAGACCCAUCUGGGUUACAUUACAGUGAUUUUCAUAAAGGGCAGAAGCGCCCCUUUGCCUGGUUUCCCCUGCCUUUUUAUUAGUGACAGUGUUAUUGUUGCAAUUAUUAGAGGGGAUCAAGGAAGGUGGGAGUUGCCAGGGACCCCCAGGCUGAGGAGGGAGCCUCCCAGCCCCCCUCCACUCACCAUUGUCCUGCUGCCCCUCCAGCCUCCUGGUCACUGUCACCUCUGCGGCUGGAGGGCUGGAGAAAGGCCCAGGAGCCCAGGGAACCUCCACCAUGCCAGGCUGCCUUCCCUAAAGGCCGGCUCCUUCCCCACAGGCAGCCAGUCUGGGGGUGGACCUGGAGGGGCAGGGUUCUCUGGGAAUCUCUGGCCAAGGGAUGCGCUUUGGGGAUCCGCUGGAAUAAAGAGUAAUCAGUUUUCCUCGCAGGAGGUUGACCCCAAACAGCCCUCCGUCUUCCUGCCCAUGAGGAUGAGGACAGGAAGCCAGACCCAGGAGAGAAAGCCCAGAUCAGACAGAUGGGGGUUGGGAGGGCCUAGUGGCUGAAACUGCCCUGCUUGGGGACAAUGCUCAGGCAGGACCAAUCCAAAUGAGGGCACUGCUUAUGUGGUCCUUCCGGGAGCACCCUCCAAGGCAGAGCCUGGCUUCGGGCCCUCCCUGCAAGGACACCUGCCUCCACUCCCUGCCAGACCAGGCCUGGCUGCAGAGGCGGAGGGGCGGCAGGGCUGCCUGUCUCCACUGUUUGGCGGUGUUUACACGUGUCGCUGUCAGGGUGUCUGGACAGCAGGGGUCAGGGGGCCUCCCGGCCCAGAGUUCCUCAGGCCUAUUCUCACACUGGUGUGAGGGCCCUAGGGGAAGGGUGUGGGCUGGGUGGCAGGGCCAGGCCAGCUGAGACCUACAGGACCGUGGAGCAUUUAGGUCUCCCACCCAACUCCAACCAGUCCUCUGAGCAUCAGUUACAGAGCCCAGGCAGCAGGAGGGCAGAGCCCAGCCCCUUAUCACCCAUCCUCAAGGCAGGCAGGAACCCUGAAGGCAGCUUCCACCAGGGGUUCCCUUAGCCCCCACCCUCCAAAAGCCCCAGACCCUGCCAGGCCUCACCCUGCCAGCAUCGUGGCCCCAGCUGAGGGCUCCCAAGGGCAGGUGCUGGCAACACAAGCAGGAGGCCUCGGGGCAUCCCGCAGGGCACACACCAGGUCGCCCUGGGCUCCCCAAGCACCUCCCAGACCCAGCCCUCGGGUGGGUCCUGGCCCACAAACCCCCACGCCCUGCCCCUGAGAUGAGCCCCACCGCCCACCUGCCCUCCAGCCCUGGAGACCUUUCUCCCCCUUGGCCAUGGCUCCCAUGGGGAGGCUGCAGGCCCUCCCUGGGCUGGACCAGAGGGGACAGACUGUCUCUCCCCUGCGACUUCUGGGGGCACUGGAGUCCUUGGCCUGGUUACCUUCAGCAUUUAUAGCCCUCCAGUGAGUUAUUCCUCGGAGUUCUCACAGAGCAGCAUGCGCCUGCGGCAAAGCCCUCACCUCCAGCCCCUGGACCACCUGACUGCUGCCUCCCGCCUGGCGCCAAACACGGCCACC